RNAcentral lists this ribosomal RNA (465 nucleotides) under uncultured bacterium. RNAcentral's name for it is "bacterial SSU rRNA". It matches the Rfam family "Bacterial small subunit ribosomal RNA", at positions 338 to 795 of the family's 1533-position model. The record is from RNAcentral.
CCUACGGGCGGCUGCAGUAGGGAAUCUUCCACAAUGGGUGCAAACCUGAUGGAGCAAUGCCGCGUGAGUGAAGAAGGACUUCGGUUCGUAAAGCUCUGUUGUUAGUGAAGAACAAGGAAAGUAGUAACUGGCUUUCCCUUGACGGUACCUAACCAGAAAGUCACGGCUAACUACGUGCCAGCAGCCGCGGUAAUACGUAGGUGACAAGCGUUGUCCGGAUUUAUUGGGCGUAAAGCGAACGCAGGCGGUUUUUUAAGUCUGAUGUGAAAGCCCACGGCUCAACCGUGGAGGUGCAUUGGAAACUGAAAGGCUUGAAUACAGAAGAGGAAAGUGGAAUUCCACGUGUAGAGGUGAAAUUCGUAGAUAUGUGGAGGAACACCAGUGGCGAAGGCGACUUUCUGGUCUGUAAUUGACGCUGAGGUUCGAAAGCGUGGGUAGCGAACAGGAUUAGAUACCCGGGUAGUC